AAUAAGAAGCGAUGAUUGCAUUCAGUUUCGACCUGACCCUAGGUGGUAACACCCUUAUUU
This 60-nucleotide transfer RNA is filed under the name Torleya nepalica. Its description in RNAcentral is "tRNA-Arg". Lineage: Eukaryota; Metazoa; Arthropoda; Insecta; Ephemeroptera; Ephemerellidae. The record is from RNAcentral.